AUUAAACGCUGGCGGCAGGCCUAACACAUGCAAGUCGAGCGGAUGAAGGGAGCUUGCUCCUGGAUUCAGCGGCGGACGGGUGAGUAAUGCCUAGGAAUCUGCCUGGUAGUGGGGGAUAACGUCCGGAAACGGGCGCUAAUACCGCAUACGUCCUGAGGGAGAAAGUGGGGGAUCUUCGGACCUCACGCUAUCAGAUGAGCCUAGGUCGGAUUAGCUAGUUGGUGGGGUAAAGGCCUACCAAGGCGACGACCCGUAACUGGUCUGAGAGGAUGAUCAGUCACACUGGAACUGAGACACGGUCCAGACUCCUACGGGAGGCAGCAGUGGGGAAUAUUGGACAAUGGGCGAAAGCCUGAUCCAGCCAUGCCGCGUGUGUGAAGAAGGUCUUCGGAUUGUAAAGCACUUUAAGUUGGGAGGAAGGGCAGUAAGUUAAUACCUUGCUGUUUUGACGUUACCAACAGAAUAAGCACCGGCUAACUUCGUG
Molecule: ribosomal RNA, 484 nt
Filed under: uncultured bacterium
Lineage: Bacteria
Description: partial 16S ribosomal RNA
Rfam family: Bacterial small subunit ribosomal RNA
Source: RNAcentral